RNAcentral lists this ribosomal RNA (268 nucleotides) under uncultured prokaryote. RNAcentral describes it as "partial 16S ribosomal RNA". It matches the Rfam family "Bacterial small subunit ribosomal RNA", at positions 524 to 792 of the family's 1533-position model. The record is from RNAcentral.
UACGGAGGAUGCAAGCGUUAUCCGGAUUUAUUGGGUUUAAAGGGUGCGCAGGUGGUUAAAUAAGUCAGUGGUGAAAGUCUGCCGCUUAACGGUAGGAUUGCCAUUGAUACUGUUUAACUUGAGUUUGGAUGAGGUAGGCGGAAUGAGUAGUGUAGCGGUGAAAUGCAUAGAUAUUACUCAGAACACCGAUUGCGAAGGCAGCUUACUAAUCCACAACUGACACUGAGGCACGAAAGCGUGGGGAUCAAACAGGAUUAGAUACCCGGUA